RNAcentral lists this ribosomal RNA (118 nucleotides) under Peromyscus maniculatus bairdii (prairie deer mouse). The record is from RNAcentral. Lineage: Eukaryota; Metazoa; Chordata; Mammalia; Rodentia; Cricetidae.
AUCUAUAACCAUACCACCCUGAACGCGCCCAAUCUCAUCUGAUCUCGGGAGCUAGGCAGGGUCCAGCCUGGUUAGUACUUGGAUGGAGACUAUCUAGGAAUGCUGGAUGCUGUAGGCU